This 471-nucleotide ribosomal RNA is filed under the name uncultured bacterium. RNAcentral describes it as "bacterial SSU rRNA". It matches the Rfam family "Bacterial small subunit ribosomal RNA", at positions 355 to 825 of the family's 1533-position model. The record is from RNAcentral.
UGGGGAAUCUUGCGCAAUGGGCGAAAGCCUGACGCAGCGACGCCGCGUGAGUGAUGAAGGCCUUCGGGUUGUAAAGCUCUGUGGGGAGAGAAGAAUAAGUGCGGGCUAAUACUCCGCAUGAUGACGGUAUCUCCUUAGCAAGCACCGGCUAACUCUGUGCCAGCAGCCGCGGUAAGACAGAGGGUGCAAACGUUGUUCGGAAUUACUGGGCGUAAAGCGAGUGUAGGCGGUUUGGUAAGUCGGAUGUGAAAGCCCCGGGCUCAACCCGGGAAGUGCACUCGAUACUGCCAAGCUAGAGUAUCGGAGAGGUUGGUGGAAUUCUCGGUGUAGAGGUGAAAUUCGUAGAUAUCGAGAGGAACACCGGUGGCGAAGGCGGCCAACUGGACGAAUACUGACGCUGAGACUCGAAAGCGUGGGGAGCAAACAGGAUUAGAUACCCCAGUAGUCCCUGAGCGGGCUGGCAAGGCGCAU